Manacus vitellinus (golden-collared manakin) is the source of this 1667-nucleotide long non-coding RNA. Lineage: Eukaryota; Metazoa; Chordata; Aves; Passeriformes; Pipridae. The record is from Ensembl.
AGAACAGAGGCUUUCCUGAAUGAAAGCCACGACAAGCCUGAAUUUUCAGAAAAGAUCUUGGCAGACCAGGGAGGGAUAUUUUGUUCUUUUCCUCUCCGCUCCUCCAGCCAAAACGAAGGCCUGGUUAAGUCAUCACAUUUUAUCCCUCUUUUCUUCAGAAAACUCAAGGAGCAGUCUGGAAACAUCGAGGCAGAACUGGAGAAGGUGUUUUCCACCUCUGUCACUGCUGCCAUAGUGGAGCCUCCCGCGGCCUCGGCGAGCCCGGAGCUCGUCGCAGCCAUCGUGCUCAGCGUCGUCCUGGCCUGCACCCUCAUCGCCUUCCUGGUCUACGUGCUCCUGGACGUGAAAAGGAAAAGAAAGCGUGAGCAGCAGCAUUUGGUUAAGAAGCAAGCUGAAAGUAUGGAGGGCAUUGAUAACCCGUGGGCCAUGGACAAAAAUGGAAGUCUGAAAAGCUUAGAGAAACUAGAGCACAUGAAUAACGGGAGAAGCGAGGUAUUAUCAUUUGACAACAUAUACAGCACCAGAGGAGGUGAGGCUGACAAAGAUGAAAUGCAGGCCCCUGAAAAAGGCAAUUACCUUGAGACAAUACUGGCAGAUUACAAUAGUGAACAUGAGUAUGAAAAAGCUGCUGAACUUGGAAACACGGAGGCCCAGCCCGCUGUGGCAUUCAUAACAAAACAGGUAAUGAGCUUUUUGAUUGCAAAGCGUGGAGUGAAAGGUAUUUUAUUGUUACUCAUCAAAUAAUUGAAGGAAUUAUUGAAAAAGUUAAACCUGUCACGGAACGGAAAAGAAAACAAUCUUUUGUGAAGUAACCCCUGGAAAUGUUCAGGGCUGGGUUGGACAGGACUUGAUCAACCUGGUGUAGUGGAAGGUGUCCCUGCCCAGGGCAGGGGGGUGGAACUGGAUGAUCUUUUAAGUUCCCUUCCAACCCAAACCAUUCUGUGAUUCUAUAAAAAUCUUAGAGGAGGGGCUGUUGUCCCUGAGUAGAAGGAGGAGGAAAGACUUGUCAUCCAGAAAUUACGAUUCCUUUCUGCCUGUUAUGGAAUGUGCACAGUAAAGGGUUCUUGUGUGCUGCUCCAAAAACUUCCCACCUUAAAAGCACUGCUUUGUUUGCAAGCUUCACAGACAGAAAAUGUAAGUUAUACAACUUCCACUGCUUCGAACUUUUCCACACUACCAUUUCUAACAGAAAUUUCUGCCUCACCUGCACUACAUUUUCUUGCAGGACUCCUUUCUGACAGACACAGCCCAGAAAUCCGCUCCUCCCAUACCACCUCAGCCCCCGUCAGCUGCCCCUGGAAAAGAACUGAAAGGAGUAAAAUUCUCAGAAGUGGCAGUGAUUUUGGACGCAGAUGACGAGCCCGAAGAUUACGAGCCCGAAGAUGAUGAGCCUGAAGGCGAUGAGGCUGGCUAUGACAUCUCUUUAUAAUAAGGACACUUGAUGACGAAAAGCACGAUGACAGGACAGAAUUUAAUGAGCAACAAUAUGGGGACGCUAUCCAGAUUUUAAUUCUGCUACUGCUGUUAUAAGAGAACAAGCAAUUUGCCGAAGGUGCUGCUCUGCAGGGCUGCUCCCCCAGCACCGGCGCUGUCUCGCUGUGUAUUUAAUUUCCUCUGCCGCGUGUCGAAUAGCCAAGACAAUAAACCCGAUUCCCAAGUACUUCUCA